GCACCCCAACCGAAAGUGGAAGCAGCUUGCUGCGGAAGAUUUCAUCUGGGGUGACUGAGUGGCGGACGGGUGAGUAACGCGUGGGUAACCUGCCCCAUAGAGGGGGACAACAGUUGGAAACGACUGCUAAUACCGCAUAGUAAGGAACUGCCGCAUGACGGUUUCUUGAAAGAUUUAUCGCUAUGGGAUGGACCCGCGUCUGAUUAGCUAGUUGGUAAGGUAACGGCUUACCAAGGCAACGAUCAGUAGCCGGCUUGAGAGAGUGAACGGCCACAUUGGGACUGUGACACGGCCCAAACUCCUACGGGAGGCAGCAAUGGGGAAUAUUGCACAAUGGGGGAAACCCUGAUGCAGCGACGCCGCGUGAGUGAAGAAGUAUUUCGGUAUGUAAAGCUCUAUCAGCAGGGAAGAUAAUGACGGUACCUGACUAAGAAGCCCCGGCUAACUACGUGCCAGCAGCCGCGGUAAUACGUAGGGGGCAAGCGUUAUCCGGAUUUACUGGGUGUAAAGGGUGCGUAGGUGGCAGGGCAAGUCAGAUGUGAAAGCCCGGGGCUCAACCCCGGUAUUGCAUUUGAAACUGUCCGGCUGGAGUGCAGGAGAGGUAAGCGGAAUUCCUAGUGUAGCGGUGAAAUGCGUAGAUAUUAGGAGGAACACCAGUGGCGAAGGCGGCUUACUGGACUGUAACUGACACUGAGGCACGAAAGCGUGGGGAGCAAACGGGAUUAGAUACCCUGGUAGUCCACG
Molecule: ribosomal RNA, 744 nt
Filed under: uncultured bacterium
Lineage: Bacteria
Description: bacterial SSU rRNA
Rfam family: Bacterial small subunit ribosomal RNA
Source: RNAcentral